UCGAUUUGGAGUUUGUUGCCUAGAGUGAUGGGCUCCGAAGCUAACGCGAUAAAUCGACCGCCUGGGGAGUACGGCCGCAAGGUUAAAACUCAAAUGAAUUGACGGGGGCCCGCACAAGCGGUGGAGCAUGUGGUUUAAUUCGAUGCAACGCGAAGAACCUUACCUGGUCUUGACAUCCACAGAAUCUUGCAGAGAUGCGAGAGUGCCUUCGGGAACUGUGAGACAGGUGCUGCAUGGCUGUCGUCAGCUCGUGUUGUGAAACGUUGGGUUAAGUCCCGCAACGAGCGCAACCCUUAUCCUUUGUUGCCAGCGGUUCGGCCGGGAACUCAAAGGAGACUGCCGUUGAUAAAGCGGAGGAAGGUGGGGACGACGUCAAGUCAUCAUGGCCCUUACGACCAGGGCUACACACGUGCUACAAUGGCGUAUACAAAGGGAGGCGACCUCGCGAGAGCAAGCGGACCUCACAAAGUACGUCUAAGUCCGGAUUGGAGUCUGCAACUCGACUCCAUGAAGUCGGAAUCGCUAGUAAUCGUGAAUCAGAAUGUCACGGUGAAUACGUUCCCGGGCCU
This 569-nucleotide ribosomal RNA is filed under the name uncultured Gammaproteobacteria bacterium. Its description in RNAcentral is "bacterial SSU rRNA". It matches the Rfam family "Bacterial small subunit ribosomal RNA", at positions 812 to 1381 of the family's 1533-position model. Lineage: Bacteria; Pseudomonadati; Pseudomonadota; Gammaproteobacteria. The record is from RNAcentral.